Molecule: small nuclear RNA, 107 nt
Organism: Manis javanica (Malayan pangolin)
Lineage: Eukaryota; Metazoa; Chordata; Mammalia; Pholidota; Manidae
Source: RefSeq, a predicted model, not a curated record
GUGCUCGCUUCGGCAGCACAUAUACUAAAAUUGGAACGAUACAGAGAAGAUUGGCAUGGCUCCCGCACAAGGAUGACACGCAAAAAAAUAAAAAGGUCCCAGAAGGC